AACGAACGCUGGCGGCAUGCCUAACACAUGCAAGUCGAACGAGACCUUCGGGUCUAGUGGCGCACGGGUGCGUAACGCGUGGGAACCUGCCCUUAGGUUCGGAAUAACUCCCCGAAAGGGGUGCUAAUACCGGAUAAUGUCUUCGGACCAAAGAUUUAUCGCCUUUGGAUGGGCCCGCGUUGGAUUAGCUAGUUGGUAGGGUAAAAGCCUACCAAGGCGACGAUCCAUAGCUGGUCUGAGAGGAUGAUCAGCCACACUGGGACUGAGACACGGCCCUGACUCCUACGGGAGGCAGCAGUGGGGAAUAUUGGACAAUGGGCGAAAGCCUGAUCCAGCAAUGCCGCGUGAGUGAUGAAGGCCUUAGGGUUGUAAAGCUCUUUUACCCGGGAUGAUAAUGACAGUACCGGGAGAAUAAGCGCCGGCUAACUCCGUG
RNAcentral lists this ribosomal RNA (433 nucleotides) under uncultured bacterium. Its description in RNAcentral is "partial 16S ribosomal RNA". It matches the Rfam family "Bacterial small subunit ribosomal RNA", at positions 29 to 507 of the family's 1533-position model. The record is from RNAcentral.